This 468-nucleotide ribosomal RNA is filed under the name uncultured bacterium. RNAcentral's name for it is "partial 16S ribosomal RNA". It matches the Rfam family "Bacterial small subunit ribosomal RNA", at positions 28 to 507 of the family's 1533-position model. The record is from RNAcentral.
GACGAACGCUGGCGGCGUGCUUAACACAUGCAAGUCGAACGGAAAGGCCCUGCUCUUGUGGGUUGCUCGAUUGGCGAACGGGUGAGUAACACGUGAGUAACCUGCCCUUGACUUUGGGAUAACUUCAGGAAACUGGGGCUCAUACCCGAUAGGAGCUCCUGCUGCAUGGUGGGGGUUGGAAAGUUUCGGCGGUUCGGGAUGGACUCGCGGCUUAUCCGCUUGUUGGUGGGGUAGUGGAUUUCCAAGGCUUUGACGGGUAGCCGGCCUGAGAGGGUGACCGGCCACAUGGGGACUGAGAUACGGCCCAGACUGCUACGGGAGGCAGCAGUGGGGAAUAUUGCAGAAUGGGCGGAAGCCUGAUGCAGCAACGCCGCGUGCGGGAUGACGGCCUUCGGGUUGUAAACCGCUGUCGCCGGAGACGAGGAGUGAGUGACGGUAAUGGGUAAAGAAGCACCGGCUAACUACGUG